This 495-nucleotide ribosomal RNA is filed under the name uncultured bacterium. RNAcentral's name for it is "bacterial SSU rRNA". It matches the Rfam family "Bacterial small subunit ribosomal RNA", at positions 214 to 725 of the family's 1533-position model. The record is from RNAcentral.
UCCGCCUAAAGAAAAGCUCGCGGCUGAUUAGCUAGUUGGUAAGGUAAUGGCUUACCAAGGCGACGAUCAGUAUCUGGUUUGAGAGGACGAUCAGACACACUGGAACUGAGACACGGUCCAGACUCCUACGGGAGGCAGCAGUGGGGAAUUUUCCGCAAUGGGCGAAAGCCUGACGGAGCAAUACCGCGUGAGGGAAGACAGCCUACUGGGUUGUAAACCUCUUUUUUCAGGGAGGAAAAAAAUGACGUGUACCUGAAGAAUAAGCAUCGGCUAACUCCGUGCCAGCAGCCGCGGUAAGACGGAGGAUGCAAGUGUUAUCCGGAAUUACUGGGCGUAAAGCGUGUAGGUUGUUUAAUAAGUCAACUGUUAAAUCUUGAGGCUUAACUUCAAACAGCAGUCGAAACUAUUAGACUAGAGUAUAGUAGGGGUAAAGGGAAUUCCAGUGGAGCGGUGAAAUGCGUAGAUAUUGGAAAGAACACCCGAUGGGAAAGCACU